RNAcentral lists this long non-coding RNA (2160 nucleotides) under Gouania willdenowi (blunt-snouted clingfish). RNAcentral's name for it is "lncRNA (ENSGWIG00000004368.1)". The record is from RNAcentral. Lineage: Eukaryota; Metazoa; Chordata; Actinopteri; Blenniiformes; Gobiesocidae.
AUGGCGCCGGUGUGUCUGGUGUGCCGCUUGGCUCUGCUCAGUUUUAUUUGUUUUAUGCUGAUUUUAACAUCUGUUACAAGGACCAUCGACUCACUGCUGGUGUAUAAUUGUCAAGAAUUGCUAAAAAUAAAAGAAACGGUGCAAUCGUGUACCAUUCGUGAUGCAAACAACAAGUCAGGUUCAUUCUACCUGGCCGACCUGCCUGCGCACCUCCUCAGGGUGAAUGCGCCGCUGCCCAGGAAGCGUAAACGCCGAGGAGUCCGAUCCGGUCGGCUCGUGAAGCUGAAAGCCUGGUUGGCUCUUUCUCCCACCGCGGUGUGGUCCUCGGAACUUCCACGGGAUUACAGAGACUGUUUUUUCCGCUAUGUCUCACGACGCACACUCGCUCCAGUUGGCGCUUGGUUGGUGCCCAUUAUCGGACAACGGGAGGAUCUCUGCGAGCUGCGCCCUCGCCGCUCUUCUUUCCGGGUUUCUGAUGGUGUGUCCCCGGCUAACCUCAGGCCGCUGAGCCGGGUAGCUCAGGCGGCUACUACAGCUUCUACGAGGUGCGCACUCGUGAACGCGAGGUCUGUGGCGAAUAAAACUUUCAUCCUGCAGGAUGUACUGUUUUUAACAGAGACUUGGAUCAACAGCGGUGAGUCUACUGCUUUCUCAGAGUUAUUACCUCCAGACUGUACUUUUAUCAACGUACCGAGAUCCACUGGUCGUGGCGGAGGUAUAGCUACUAUUUUAAAGAACUGCUUUUAUCACAAAGUGGUAUCUGAGAGGUCUUUUUCUUCAUUUGAACUGAGCUGUUUUGAGCUGCGACAGGCUGACCCAGUACUGUGCGCUGUCAUUUACAGACCACCGAAGCACAACAAGGAUUUUAUUAGAGACUUUUAUGAAUUUGUUGCUUGUGUGCUCACGUGUUAUGACAGGGUUUUAAUUGUCGGAGAUUUUAAUGUGCAUGUAUGUUGUCCUUCUAAACCCAUGGCCAGAGAGUUUUUGGACUUGGUGGAAGCUUUUAAUCUGACGCAACAUGUCACUGGCCCCACACAAGUGCACGGGCACACGCUAGACAUUGUGUUGUCUUGUGGUUUUCCUGUGAACAAUGCCGUUGUUGGAGAUGCCGUGUUUUCUGACCACAGCCCUGUCAUGUUUGAUCUUAUUUUGGACUUGGGGGUGAAGCUGUCUUGCGUGCGUCAUGGUCGUGUUAUUAAGCCCGACACGGCCGCUGCUUUUUCUCCUCUUUUUACUGCAUCGUUUCUGGAUCAUCUAAACUCCGCUGCAUCUAUGGACACCGAGCAAUUGAUGAACUCUUUCACUUCCACCUGCUCUGAAGUCUUGGACAGUGUUGCUCCCCUCAGAGCCAUAUGUCCUAAGCCAAAGCAGGAACCGUGGCUCAAUGACACUACGCGCACAGCUCGGCGUGAGUGUCUGAGGGCAGAGCGGAGGUGGAAGAAGGACCACUUGGAGGUCUCGCACCAGAUUCUUAGAGAGUGCUGGAGAAACUAUCAAAGUGCUGUUAAAGCUGAAAAAACUCAAUAUUUCUCUAACUUGAUCUCGAAUAAUGUCAGUAAGCCUCGAGUUCUUUUUAAAACGAUUGGUUCUGUUUUUAAUCCGAGUCCGUCCACUUCAUUGGAGAUGACAAGUGGAACGUGUGAAAAAUUCCUCUCCUUUUUUAAUGAGAAGGUUGCUGCUAUUAGGGCCAACAUAUCUCCCUUUUCAGUGUGGAGUUGUGUAUCCACUCAAUGCUUAGCUGUUUUCUGUCAGUUUGAGUCUGUGUCAUUGUCUGUGCUCACAGGGAUAGUUAAAAAACUUAAACCCUCCUCCUGUCCCACAGACCCGGGCCCUCCUCGCUUUUUUAAAGAGGUUUGGGACACCAUUGGCUCUUCUGUUAGGGAGAUCAUCAACAGCAGCUUGGCUACUGGCAUAGUGCCAGCUUGUUGUAAGAAAGCUGUAGUUGAGCCUUUGAUUACAAAACCUGGCCUUGACCCUGCAAAUUUGGCGAAUUAUCGCCCAAUUUCCAAACUACCAUUGGUAUCGAAAAUUUUAGAGAAAUGCGUUUUUGCACAGUUGCAACCUUUUUUAGAUGAAAAUGGCACUUUAGACCCAUAUCAGUCAGGCUACAAAGCUUUGCACAGUACUGAAUCUGCACUUUUAAAGGUUUUUAAUGACUGA